AAAAUGCACGCUGAUGACAAACAUCACAGCGUUGCCCAUCUCCUGCAAAUUUCUUUGCUUUUCUGGAAAUUUUCGUUAGGAAGUGAGUGACAUGGCGAAGUAAUCAAACUCCAUAACAAACACCUCUCAGGACUGCUCUGGUAUAAGAGGAGAGGAAUGCAGGAAGCCACAAGUUCAUGGAGUAGUGGCAUGGACACUGCAGCAGGAAUUAACUGAUUGUCCAACUACGUGUUUGUUAACUUCAACUAAGGCAGGCCAGAUAGAUGUUUGUUUUGGUUAGAUAUGCAACAUUACUGUUGCCAGGACACUCAAGUUGCCUAUUUUCAAUUAAUUGUUAUUUCCAUAUACUAGAAAGUUGAUCUAAGUAAUUUGGAGCUUUAAGUGGCCCAGACAUGUCUUCAUUUUUACUUUUGUUUACAUUAAUACAGUUAUGAUAAUUUUUCUUUCUUCUUUUUUUUAUGUAAAAGGGUAACUGGCCAAGGGAAACAAAACUGUAAAAAAAAAUCCCACUUAGGGGCCAGUCCCAAAAGAGAUGUCAAGAGAAUCAUAAAAAUUUGAAGGAUAAGUGUCUUGAAACCUCCCUCUUGAAAAAAAUUCAGGUCAUAGGAAGGAGGAAAUACAGAAGCAGGCAGGGAGUUCCAGAGUUUACCUGAGAAAAGGAUGAAUGACAGAGAAUACCGGUUAACUCUUGCAUUAGAGAGGUGGACAGAACAGGGAUGAGAAAAAAAAAGAAACUCUUGUGCAAUGAGGCCUUGGGAGGAGGGAAGGCAUGCAGUUAGCAAGAUCAGAAGAGCAGCAUGAAAGCAGAGAUAGAAAAUAGCAAGAGAUGCAACACUGCAGUGAUGAAAAAGAGGCUGAAGACAGUCAGUUAUAGGAGAGGAGUUGAUGAAACAAAAAGCUUUUGAUUCCACCCUGUCUAAAAUAGUGGUAUGAGUGGAACCCCCCAUACAUGGUGUACUCUUUUUGAAAUCUCAAGAUGACCAAAUAAAUCUAAAUGCCAAUUAACUAGAGAAUUGAAAAUCAACUUAUACUUUUAUUCAUGAAUACAGUUUGAUUUUACCUGUGGUACUACUUAGAAGAAAUUGUGUAGAAAAGUAGAUUAUAUAAGCUCAUUGCAUCUUUAUGUAUAUAGAAUGACUCUUAAGCAUAUUUGAUAUUGCUCCUAUGUGUGAGAAGGGGACAUGUCUAGUGCUGCCACCUGGUGACACUCACUAGUUUACCAAACUCCCCAUUUUGGGACAUAGUCUAUACUACAGUUAGUUGAAGGAAGGAAGGGUGCCAAGAGAAUGGAAAAGAGUUAUCAUAGUGUCCAUAUGCAAAGGAGAAAAUAAAAUGGAACCAUUGUCACUGACUAGUGUUAUAAGUAAAUUCUGAAAUAAUAACUAAGGACAGAUAAUUGAAAUAUCUGGAAGACAAUACAGUAAUACCCAAUGGACAAAAAACUCAGAAAAGCAAGAUCUUGCAUUAACCUACUGUGUUUUAUACAAGAGUAAUAUAUGUGGUAGUGCAAGAGAAAGAUGGAUGGGUCAGUGCUGUGCAUUUAGAUUAAAAAAAAAAAAAUCUUUUGUAGAAGUUGGAAAAUAUAGAAUGGCUAAAGUGAGCAUUACUGUGUUAGAUGAAAGACUUUCUACAAAAUCAAGAAAUGAGAACAAUAAGCAGAGACACUAUAGUGGAACCAGAUUAACUUGGUACUUAGGAUGUUGCUAUACCUCUCGGUGCUGUUGCUACCUCAACCCUGGAGUGACCUGACCUGACCUGACCAUGGCCAGCAGGGCUCAGCAUGGGAGAUUCACAUGUCAAGGACACUGGGAUAGCAGCACUGCAUGGCCUAUACACAUUGUCAAUUGUAUAUACAGCAUCAUUGUUCCAUCAUCAAAUCAAAUGCCAUUAAAAAAUAAUUACAGACGUAUCUUGGUACUCGACCAUAAUCCGUUCUGAGGUGGUGGUCGAGCACCGAUUUGUUCGAACACCGAAACCAAUUUUCCCAUAAGAAAUAAUGGAAAGUAUUUUAAUCCAUUCUUACCAUUAAGAAAAAUACCUAAAAUAUUAUAAGAACGUGUAUCUAAACAACAAUAAAACGUAAAUGUGCACAAGCAGUACAUGAUAAAGAUAAAUAAAGCAUUAUAAACCA
Molecule: long non-coding RNA, 2131 nt
Organism: Scylla paramamosain (green mud crab)
Lineage: Eukaryota; Metazoa; Arthropoda; Malacostraca; Decapoda; Portunidae
Exons: 2
Source: RefSeq, a predicted model, not a curated record